This 445-nucleotide long non-coding RNA is filed under the name Olea europaea (common olive). Its description in RNAcentral is "long non-coding RNA (OEUR_LNC004310)". Lineage: Eukaryota; Viridiplantae; Streptophyta; Magnoliopsida; Lamiales; Oleaceae. The record is from RNAcentral.
GUUGCUUUUCAAUCUCUCUCUGAAUUGAUUCAUACAAGUCAUGAGGUUGAAGUAAAGGAUGAUGGUGAGGCUGAGGCUGAGGCUGAGGCUGAGGCUGAGGCUGAGGCUGAGGCUGAGGCUGAGGCUGAGGCUGAGGCUGAGGCUGAGGCUGAGGCUGAGGCUGAGGCUGAGGCUGAGGCUGAGGCUGAGGCUGAGGCUGAGGCUGAGGCUGAGGCUGAGGCUGAGGCUGAGGCUGAGGCUGAGGCUGAGGCUGAGGCUGCGGGUGAGGCUGAGGGUGAAGUUGACUACGGUCUUGCAAGUACUCACAAUGGAAACGACCUGCAAAUGAGCCCGUAUAGCCAGCUGAAACAACAGAGUAAAAUUAUCAAAAAUAUUGACAGUAGCCGAUCAGAAAAUCCCAAGAUAAAAAAUAAUCCAAACUUGAUCGAUAGACAGAGAAAAAAAU